This 25-nucleotide non-coding RNA is filed under the name Rattus norvegicus (Norway rat). Lineage: Eukaryota; Metazoa; Chordata; Mammalia; Rodentia; Muridae. The record is from RNAcentral.
UAAAAAUGGUGUCUUUAAUCGGGUU